Molecule: ribosomal RNA, 255 nt
Filed under: uncultured prokaryote
Description: partial 16S ribosomal RNA
Rfam family: Bacterial small subunit ribosomal RNA
Source: RNAcentral
ACGGAGGAUCCAAGCGUUAUCCGGAAUUACUGGGCGUAAAGAGUUGCGUAGGUGGUUUGUUAAGCAGGGUAUGAAAGCGUGUGGCUCAACCAUACAGCUAUAUCCUGAACUAACAGGACUAGAGAGCGAGAGAGGUAGAUGGAAUUUCCAGUGUAGGAGUGAAAUCCGUAGAUAUUGGGAGGAACACCGAUGGCGUAGGCAGUCUACUGGCUCGUCUCUGACACUAAGGCACGAAAGCGUGGGGAGCAAACGGGA